Molecule: ribosomal RNA, 751 nt
Filed under: uncultured archaeon
Lineage: Archaea
Description: bacterial SSU rRNA
Rfam family: Archaeal small subunit ribosomal RNA
Source: RNAcentral
GCUCAGUAACACGUGGACAACGUACCCUAAAGUGGAGCAUAAUCUCGGGAAACUGAGGAUAAUUCUCCAUAGACCAUGAGAUCUGGAAUGACUUAUGGUUCAAAGUUCCGGCGCUUUAGGAUCGGUCUGCGGCCUAUCAGGUAGUAGUGGGUGUAACGUACCCCCUAGCCGUUGACGGGUAUGGGCCUUGAGAGAGGGAGCCCAGAGUUGGAUUCUGAGACACGAAUCCAGGCCCUACGGGGCGCAGCAGUCGCGAAAACUUCACAAUGGGCGAAAGCCCGAUGAGGGAAUUCCUAGUGCUAGCACUUUUGUGCUAGCUUUUCUUCAGCGUAGAUAACUGGAGGAAUAAGGGCUGGGUAAGACGGGUGCCAGCCGCCGCGGUAAUACCCGCAGCCCGAGUGGUGGUCGAUUUUAUUGAGUCUAAAACGUUCGUAGCCGGUCUAAUAAAUCCUUGGGUAAAUCGGAAGGCUUAACUUUCCGAAUUCCGAGGAGACUGUUAGGCUUGGGAUCGGGAGAGGUAAGAGGUACUUCAGGGGUAGGGGUAAAAUCCUGUAAUCCUUGGAGGACCACCGGUGGCGAAGGCGUCUUACUAGAACGAAUCCGACGGUGAGGGACGAAGCCCUAGGUCGCAAACGGGAUUAGAUACCCCGGUAGUCUAGGGUGUAAACGCUGCAGACUUGGUGUUGGGGGCCCUUCGGGGGCAUUCAGUGCCGGAGAGAAGUUGUUAAGUCUGCUACUUGGGGAGUACGUC